Molecule: ribosomal RNA, 468 nt
Filed under: uncultured bacterium
Lineage: Bacteria
Description: partial 16S ribosomal RNA
Rfam family: Bacterial small subunit ribosomal RNA
Source: RNAcentral
GACGAACGCUGGCGGCGUGCUUAACACAUGCAAGUCGAACGGAAAGGCCCUGCUUUUGUGGGGUGCUCGAGUGGCGAACGGGUGAGUAACACGUGAGUAACCUGCCCUUGACUUUGGGAUAACUUCAGGCAACUGGGGCUAAUACCGGAUAGGAGCUCCUGCUGCAUGGUGGGGGUUGGAAAGUUCCGGUGUUUGGGGAUGGUCGCGCGGGUUUCAAGCUUGUUGGUGGGGUAGUGGCUUACCAAGGUUUUGACGGGUAGCCGGCCUGAGAGGGUGACCGGCCACAUUGGGACUAAGAUACGGCCCAGACUCCUACGGGAGGCAGCAGUGGGGAAUAUUGCACAAUGGGCGGAAGCCUGAUGCAGCAACGCCGCGUGCGGGAUGACGGCCUUCGGGUUGUAAACCGCUUUCGCCUGUGACGAAGCGUGAGUGACGGUAAUGGGUAAAGAAGCACCGGCUAACUACGUG